UCAGUUCAGACUGCAGGCUGCAACUCGCCUGCACGAAGUCGGAAUUGCUAGUAAUCGUAGGUCAGCAUACUACGGUGAAUACGUUCCCGGGCCUUGUACACACCGCCCGUCAAACCAUGAGAGUUGGCAACACCCGAAGUCGGUAGUCUAACCGCAAGGAGGACGCCGCCGAAGGUGGGGUCGAUGAUUAGGGUUAAGUCGUAACAAGGUACC
RNAcentral lists this ribosomal RNA (213 nucleotides) under uncultured bacterium. Its description in RNAcentral is "partial 16S ribosomal RNA". It matches the Rfam family "Bacterial small subunit ribosomal RNA", at positions 1288 to 1500 of the family's 1533-position model. The record is from RNAcentral.